Molecule: non-coding RNA, 75 nt
Filed under: Ditylum brightwellii
Lineage: Eukaryota; Bacillariophyta; Thalassiosirophyceae; Lithodesmiales; Lithodesmiaceae
Source: RNAcentral
AAAAACAAAAGUUUGAAAAAAUACGUCUGUCUGUCGAAAUGUUGGUUUUUUUAAUUUUUUAUGUCUUAUUUUGCA